CUUAUUUAUAUAUAUUUUGUAGCCCUUUAUUUGAUAGUAAACAAUUUUUCUUAUAAUUUUCUCUUUAUAUACAUACAUACCCAUAUAUUAGGAAUGAACUCUCAUUAUUUAUAAUAAACCUAUCAUUAAUUUGUUGAAAAUUAAUUGUUAGAGAUUUUUGAAUUAAGGAGCCAUGCAACGUUCACCGUGUGGAAUAUAGAAUAACCAUGACUAAAAAGGGAUCAUCCGAAACUAAAAAAUAUCUUGGAAUUUAUAGGAUGAUCAUGGUUGGGUGGCAAGGACUGCCGCAACAAGACCAGCGCAGCCGUCAAUCAUGGUGGAUAUGUAUAUGUAUUUCGGUGGUUAAGUUUUCCCCUUCCGGUUACUUCACCUUUUCCUAAGUCAUCCCCCUAUCCCCCUCAUAUGCAACUCUAUGUUAGCCUUUGUUGACAAAAAUUCUGGCGCAUAGCAUCUAUCCGAUUGAACGAUUGAACACGUUUUACUUGUUCUAACUGAAGUACGCAAUUUUUGAAUUUUGAAAAUAAAUUUUCCGGCAGUAGAUCAUUCCAAUGUAUUCCAGCCCUCCAAACUUCUUGGAUUAAUAUCUUUCCGUGUAUUAUUAAGUCCGCUAACAUUCCGAAUAGAUCAAAUACGGACAUGACUAGACUUAGUAGUUGGCGCUUAGUAGGGCACUUCAUCCCUUUCACAAUUUCUUUGUCUACACGGUUUAGCUUGUGGUCGAAUACAAACUUGUCGGACUUACUAUCCCAAUACAUGCCUAAAAUCGUGUCUGUUGAUUCGUUACUCAUUUGGACUGUUUGUUCCAGCAAGUCGUUCUCCUUUGUGUCAUUAAGCAAUUCCUGAAUGCGUUUGGAAUUAGAUACGAAGCCCCUGAGUUCAAAUUUCCCCAUAUUAUGUACUCUCUUGACUUCCUGACUGAUUUGAAAGGCUUUCUCUUCUGAUUCAAAACUAGCAACGAAGUCAUCUACAUAAUUUUUGGUUUGGAUGGCAUCGAUUACUUCUUUCCUGUAGUUUUCUGCGUUUUGUGGGUUGAUAUUCUUAAUGUAUUGGGCACAACAAGGAGAGCAUGCUGCACCAAAUAUAAGGACGGUCAUCUUGUACGUAUUCACUUCUGCAUUACGAUUGCAAUGUCUCCAAAGGAAUCUUAAUGAAUCCUGGUCCUCUUUUCGUACUUGCACUUGCAAAAACAUUUCCUUUAUAUCGGCGCAUACUGCAAAUUUCCCAUGGCGAAAUUUGAAAAGUAUCGUAGCCAAAGGUGGGUUUCAUCAGGUCCUUUUAAAAGUAUGGUAUUUAGGGAAACAAAAUUGAUCGUUGCGGCUGCAUCGAAAACCAAUCUUAUUUUUUUCGACUUUUUUAUGUUAACAACGCCGAAGUGCGGUAAAUACCAGGUCCUUGGUUUAAUCAGAGCGGCUUCUUGAUCUGACAGUUUGACAGCGUAUCCUCUUUGAACGAAAUUCAUAAUGGCUUUGUCAUAUUCGUCCAUUUUUCCCAAUCCGUGCAACCUCUGAAAAACCAUGUUGUAGCUAUCCGGGAAUUGAACCAUGUCCUGCUUCCAAAGGAGUCCAGUCUCGUAACAUCCUUCUAGUUUUCUAGUUGUGUUCUUUAAUAUAUCCCUUGCUCUAGAUAUAUCCGCUGCUUCCAAUGGUUUUACGGGUAUUUUUACUCCAAAGUUCUCCGUUGUGAAGUAAUCUGCUAUCAUCUUGUGGAUUUCUUGUUCUGAAUUUUCUUCUUUUGGACAUGCAUGUAAUCGCGUUGACCCAAUGCUUUGGCCUCCAUUCGAGCCAUACACAAGCCAGCCCAACGGCGUUUUAGCUGCAAUUAGAUUUUUAUCUAAAUAAACACUUUUGAUGCUGGUCAAAUGACAAUUAUUUAUUCCAAUCAAAAUCAUAGGAUUAGCAUCUGUAUAUCCGUUUAAUGAUAAAUUCUUUAUCCGUGUGUAUUUUUUAGCAAGCUUCUCAACAUCUACUGACUGUAAGGGUAGAUCUAAUUGAGGUACUGUGUUUCCAGUCAUUCGCAACCAUUUCUUGUCAGCUCCAGGAGAUCUAAUGCGAAAGUUGCAUUUCAUUGAUAAAAACUCCUUGGCGUGAUUUUCUAUCCAGUUCAAACUCAACUUUAUCUUUGGCUCCUAUACGCCCAACAUAUCUGCUAACUUCUCGUUUAUCAGUGAGGCAGAUGAUCCUCGUCUAAAAAUGCGUACGCUUGAAUUAUUUUGUUGUUUGGUCCCAUAAUUUCCACAGCUAAAACUUUGAACAACAAUUUGGGAGUGUUUAGCUUAAUUGUAUUUAUUGUAGCCUCCUGCGGCUCAAAUAUCUCUUCCCUUUUAGCAUUUUCCUGGUGUAAAGAAACAUGGUGCUGCUUCUUGCAUCCAUUUUUAUUGCAUUCGCGUUUGUACUUGCAAACUGUCAGAGUGAACUUACAUAACAGACAUUUCUCUAUGUUCUGUCUUGGUUCUUUCUCGGAAGAAUGUAAGAUUGAAUUGUGUGGACCUUUCGCCUGUUUAACGUGAAUUGUGCCUGCAAUUGUUGCUCUUGCGAUACUUCUGGCUAUGUUGCUCAGCCAAGUUGUCCAAAUUGGGAUAGGGCUGUAUUUGUGAUGAGUAUUCAAUCCAUUGCAUACGUUUGCUAAGUGGCAUCUUCCCUACCAAGCUUUCUAUUAAAGACGGAUUCUUAAAUGUUGAGCGGCAUUUGCAAUUUCAAAAAUAUUACUAAGUUAUCUACCUUGGUGGCAAAUACAACUAGCUUUUCUAAAUUAUUAUCUGUUACCGGUGCUAUUUGAUUGACCAUGCUCAUCUGACUGUUAAUUAACAAUUCUGGCCCUUCGUAAGUGAACUGCAAUCUUUCCAUAAUAAACCUAACAUUUACAGGAUUUAUUAAUAGACCCUUAACUUCUUCUUUCGCUGCUCCCUUUAGGCUCUUUUGCAACCUCAACAGGUUCUCCAAAUUUGUAUACCCAUAUGCAUUUGACGAUUCCCAAUACAUUGUUACAAUCAAACUCCGGUAAAUCUAUCAAUUUUCUUGUUUUUAUAUUAUGGGAGUGCUGUUGUUCAUACAAACGACUAUUAAUGUCACCACGCCAAUUGUCUCCACCAACAUUGUCAAACCUGUACAUACCGAUAUUUCUGUUGACAUCAAUGUUUCGAUAGGGUUGACUUCCAUAUGCUUCUUCAGAAAUGUGCCUCCAAUGGCACCAAGGCUAUUUGCGCCUCCAGCAGCGCCAGGAUUAUGUGUGCCUCCAAUGGCACCAAGGCUAUUUGCGCCUUCAGCAGCGCCAGGAUUUUGUCUGCCUCCAAUCGCAGAUCUAAUUUCCGUUUUGCACAUGUUCAUCAAUCGCUCUUCCUGACCAUCAAUUCGGCCAUUCAUGCUGGUUUUUUCUUCUUUUAUGCUUUUCAGCAUUUCCAUGAAAUCCCGAAAGAUGUCAUUCCUUGACUCCUUUUCUUUUGUUUCUACCAUUGUAGCACCCUCGUCGGAUUCCAUAUUGUCCUCCGAGUUCGAUCCAUGGAUUGACCUGCGGUCUCGAUCUCGGUGUAGAUGUACCAGCCAUGUUGCUUGAAUCGAAUUCUAUCUUUUUCUUGCUGCGCAGUUCCAUCUGUCAGUAUAUGUGUGGAUUUCACAACCACUCCGAAUUUGCACGCCUCUUGUGUGUGCCUGUAUUUGUGAUAUUCACGGCUACUUGGAGUUUGCACGCCUCUUGUGUGUGCUUGUGUUUGUGGAUUUCACAACUACUCCGCAUUUGCACGCCUCUUGUGUGUGCCUGUGUUAUGAAUUUCACAACUCUGAGUGCUUUUAUUUGAGCAUUUCACAUUGCUCUUCGACGACCAAAUUCACGAAAUUAAUAAAGAUCUUCGACGACCAACUUCAUAAAAUUAAUAAAGAUGUUCCCACUCCAUGUGACAAAAUAAUGACGACAACACCAAAAAAGAAUUGUUUAUACUGGAUAAUAAUUAAAACAAUUUAUUAAUUUGUAUUGUCGUGCCGCAGAUUCUUUUUUUUUUUUUUUUUGAGGUUUUAAGUUACCGCUCUACCCUUAGGUAGAGGGGAAUUAUUUGGCCACCCGCCUUUACAAGGGGGAAAUCGCUACGUCGUAAUAUGUAACUUGUUACAGCUUUGCUCCAAUACUUACCUGGCGUAGAGGUUAUGUUCCCCACGUGCUUGCUCAGAUUUAAUGCCAACUCACAAACUUAAUUCACAAAUUCCUUAAAACGAAAGACCGCAGAUUCUUUUUACACUACUUAUUCUAUCGAGAUGGGCGACAAUCGACAUACCACCCGAUGGUUUAUGAAAUAUAGAUAGUUAAUUGAAUAUCUAUUGCUAAUGAAAUAUCGAUAGCAGGCUGACAAUGGGGUGGGAACGUGUGGACGGUUAAAAUUUAAAUUUUUGAUUUUAUAUCAUAAUGAACCAGCAACAACGG
RNAcentral lists this long non-coding RNA (4407 nucleotides) under Drosophila guanche. Lineage: Eukaryota; Metazoa; Arthropoda; Insecta; Diptera; Drosophilidae. The record is from RNAcentral.